CAGUGGGAAUAUUGCACAAUGGGGGAAACCCUGAUGCAGCCAUGCCGCGUGUGUGAAGAAGGCCUUCGGGUUGUAAAGCACUUUCAGUAGGGAGGAAGGUAGUGUAGUUAACACAUGCACUAUUUGACGUUACCUACAGAAGAAGCACCGGCUAACUCCGUGCCAGCAGCCGCGGUAAUACGGAGGGUGCGAGCGUUAAUCGGAAUUACUGGGCGUAAAGCGCAUGCAGGCGGCCUGUUAAGUCAGAUGUGAAAGCCCGGGGCUUAACCUCGGAAUUGCAUUUGAAACUAGGCAGGCUAGAGUCUUGUAGAGGGGGGUAGGAAUUUCAGGUGUAGCGGUGAAAUGCGUAGAGAUCUGAAGGAAUACCAGUGGCGAAGGCGGCCCCCUGGACAAAGACUGACGCUCAGAUGCGAAAGCGUGGGGAGCAAACAGGAUUAGAUACCCUGGUAG
Molecule: ribosomal RNA, 450 nt
Filed under: uncultured bacterium
Lineage: Bacteria
Description: bacterial SSU rRNA
Rfam family: Bacterial small subunit ribosomal RNA
Source: RNAcentral